GAUGUUAUCUGCUCUGGUGGCAGUAUGGGGGAUUGAUGGCAGUUUACAAAAUGAAGAAACUCGGACUGAGAAAGAGGUGGGCAGAGGUGGAGACAGGAACAUUUCCUUCUGCACAGCACUUAGACCAGAGAGAUGAACUUGUGAUCAGGUGAAAAAAUGCAACAAGCAGGACUGGCCAUGCGAGCAAAGCACAUCCUGAAUUAUUGAAAGGCAACCAUGUGGCUGCCACCCGAGCAAACACAGACGAGCCGUGAGAGAGGAAGCCAGAGGAGCAGCAUCUAUGGUUUUCUGUCUUUCAGCCCAGGUGCCUUUCAUUUGUUUCCAUGUUUAUGAGUGGCUUAAUAAAAGAGAUUGUUAAUG
This is a non-coding RNA of Lonchura striata (white-rumped munia), 360 nucleotides long. NCBI's taxonomy places the organism in Eukaryota, Metazoa, Chordata, Aves, Passeriformes, Estrildidae. The record is from RefSeq and is a predicted model, not a curated record.